UGGCUUAAUUUGACUCAACGCGGGAAAUCUUACCGGGUCCGGACACACUGAGGAUUGACAGGCAAUAUCUCAUGUUAACGGUAAGUUUACUUACCGCUUAACAUCGAGUGUUAAAUAUGCUAGUCCUUUCAUGAUUAUGUGAUAGGUGGUGCAUGGCCGUUCUUAGUUCGUGGAGUGAUCUGUCUGCUUAAUUGCGUUUCACUAAGGGCCCAUAAAUUCAAGGUAUGUUAGCUCUCGUCGCUCUAUGGACCCCUUAACUCCAAUAUUCUUAUUGUGUUAAGCGCGUGUCUUUAUUUUAAGAGUUUUAAGACACUGCGCAUGCUGUUGGGCUCUGAAAGCAACGAACGUGACCGCAACGUCUUGUUGCCUUAAACUAGCGUAUAUUGCAAUUUAUUGUAAUAUCGCUUACAGAGGCUAUUUAAAACUAGACGGACCGCUGUUUCUUUCUUAAACCAGAGGAA
Molecule: ribosomal RNA, 461 nt
Filed under: Neogloboquadrina pachyderma
Lineage: Eukaryota; Foraminifera; Rotaliida; Globorotaliidae
Description: SSU rRNA
Rfam family: Eukaryotic small subunit ribosomal RNA
Source: RNAcentral